UACGUAGGGUGCAAGCGUUAAUCGGAAUUACUGGGCGUAAAGCGUGCGCAGGCGGCUUUGCAAGACAGAUGUGAAAUCCCCGGGCUCAACCUGGGAACUGCAUUUGUGACUGCAUGGCUGGAGUGCGGCAGAGGGGGAUGGAAUUCCGCGUGUAGCAGUGAAAUGCGUAGAUAUGCGGAGGAACACCGAUGGCGAAGGCGAUCCCCUGGGCCUGCACUGACGCUCAUGCACGAAAGCGUGGGGAGCAAACAGG
Molecule: ribosomal RNA, 253 nt
Filed under: uncultured bacterium
Lineage: Bacteria
Description: partial 16S ribosomal RNA
Rfam family: Bacterial small subunit ribosomal RNA
Source: RNAcentral